AACGCAACUCAAGCGCGGCUUGUGUGUUGGGCCAUCGUCCCCACGCGCCCCUCGUGCGCGGCCAGGGACGGGCCUGAAAGGCAGUGGCGACGUCGCGGUCUCCCGCGAUCAGCCCGAGCGUAUGGGGCUCUGUCAUCACGCUCGCGGCGCGGACCGACGUCUGCCUCAAACUCUUCUCUCUCAG
Molecule: unclassified non-coding RNA, 184 nt
Filed under: uncultured Eurotiales
Lineage: Eukaryota; Fungi; Ascomycota; Eurotiomycetes; Eurotiales
Description: sequence contains ITS2
Source: RNAcentral